AAAAAAACGGAAACAAGCUUGUAAGUGAAAGUAAGUGACUGCCACCUCAAGAAUCUCAUAAGUACUUGAAUCAUUACAUCUACUUCCAUCAUUAUCUAUCAAAAUUCUCUUGUAGACUAAAUGCAUUUGUUGAAUUAAUUGGAUUUAGGAAUGAAGAUCAUCAAGGAGAAGGGGUGGGAUAAAAUUAAAAUUUGAGCCUUAUAUCUUUUG
This 210-nucleotide long non-coding RNA is filed under the name Lathyrus oleraceus (garden pea). RNAcentral describes it as "Pisum sativum (pea) long non-coding RNA (PSAT_LNC017761)". Lineage: Eukaryota; Viridiplantae; Streptophyta; Magnoliopsida; Fabales; Fabaceae. The record is from RNAcentral.